CCCCAGACUCCUACGGGAGGCAGCAGUGGGGAAUAUUGCACAAUGGGGGAAACCCUGAUGCAGCGACGCCGCGUGAGUGAAGAAGUAUUUCGGUAUGUAAAGCUCUAUCAGCAGGGAAGAAAUAGCGACCUUUGGGUCGCCAGACGGUACCUGAUUAAGAAGCCCCGGCUAACUACGUGCCAGCAGCCGCGGUAAUACGUAGGGGGCAAGCGUUAUCCGGAUUUACUGGGUGUAAAGGGAGCGUAGGCGGCCUGGCAAGCCUGAUGUGAAAUACCGGGGCCCAACCCCGGGGCUGCAUUGGGAACUGCCAGGCUGGAGUGCCGGAGAGGCAGGCGGAAUUCCUAGUGUAGCGGUGAAAUGCGUAGAUAUUAGGAGGAACACCAGUGGCGAAGGCGGCCUGCUGGACGGUGACCGACGCUGAGGCUCGAAAGCGUGGGGAGCAAACAGGAUUAGAUACCCUUGUAUC
Molecule: ribosomal RNA, 466 nt
Filed under: uncultured bacterium
Lineage: Bacteria
Description: bacterial SSU rRNA
Rfam family: Bacterial small subunit ribosomal RNA
Source: RNAcentral